RNAcentral lists this ribosomal RNA (483 nucleotides) under uncultured bacterium. RNAcentral describes it as "partial 16S ribosomal RNA". It matches the Rfam family "Bacterial small subunit ribosomal RNA", at positions 30 to 507 of the family's 1533-position model. The record is from RNAcentral.
UUGAACGCUUGCGGCAGGCCUAACACAUGCAAGUCGAGCGGAUGAAGGGAGCUUGCUCCUGGAUUCAGCGGCGGACGGGUGAGUAAUGCCUAGGAAUCUGCCUGGUAGUGGGGGAUAACGUCCGGAAACGGGCGCUAAUACCGCAUACGUCCUGAGGGAGAAAGUGGGGGAUCUUCGGACCUCACGCUAUCAGAUGAGCCUAGGUCGGAUUAGCUAGUUGGUGGGGUAAAGGCCUACCAAGGCGACGAUCCGUAACUGGUCUGAGAGGAUGAUCAGUCACACUGGAACUGAGACACGGUCCAGACUCCUACGGGAGGCAGCAGUGGGGAAUAUUGGACAAUGGGCGAAAGCCUGAUCCAGCCAUGCCGCGUGUGUGAAGAAGGUCUUCGGAUUGUAAAGCACUUUAAGUUGGGAGGAAGGGCAGUAAGUUAAUACCUUGCUGUUUUGACGUUACCAACAGAAUAAGCACCGGCUAACUUCGUG